This 453-nucleotide ribosomal RNA is filed under the name uncultured bacterium. RNAcentral describes it as "bacterial SSU rRNA". It matches the Rfam family "Bacterial small subunit ribosomal RNA", at positions 28 to 507 of the family's 1533-position model. The record is from RNAcentral.
GAUAAACGCUGGCGGCGUGCCUAAUGCAUGCAAGUCGAACGGGGGAUGGAGCUUCGGCUCCAUCUCUAGUGGCAGACGGGUGAGUAACGCGUAAGUAACCCAUCCCCGAGUGGGGGAUAACCCCGAGAAAUCGGGGCUAAUACCGCAUAAUGUGGGAGACCACCAAAGCCUUUGGGUGCUUAGGGAGGGGCUUGCGUCCGAUUAGCUAGUUGGUAGGGUAAGGGCCUACCAAGGCUAAGAUCGGUAGCUGGUCUGAGAGGAUGGUCAGCCACACUGGGACUGAGACACGGCCCAGACUCCUACGGGAGGCAGCAGCAGGGGAUAUUGCGCAAUGGGCGAAAGCCUGACGCAGCAACGCCGCGUGGGGGAAGAAGGCCUUCGGGUUGUAAACCCCUUUUCUCGGGGAAGAAGUAAGUGACGGUACCCGAGGAAUAAGUCUCGGCUAACUACGUG